CACGUAGGCAGCAAGCGUUGUUCGGAGUUACUGGGCGUAAAGGGUGUGUAGGCGGUCUUCUAAGUUUGGUGUGAAAUCUCCCGGCUUAACUGGGAGGGUGCGCCGAAUACUGAAAGACUAGAGUGCGGGAGAGGAUAGUGGAAUUCCUGGUGUAGCGGUGAAAUGCGUAGAUAUCAGGAGGAACACCGGUGGUGUAGACGGCUAUCUGGACCGUAACUGACGCUGAGACACGAAAGCGUGGGUAG
Molecule: ribosomal RNA, 245 nt
Filed under: uncultured bacterium
Lineage: Bacteria
Description: partial 16S ribosomal RNA
Rfam family: Bacterial small subunit ribosomal RNA
Source: RNAcentral